AGUGAACGCUGGCGGUAGGCCUAACACAUGCAAGUCGAACGGCAGCACAGUAAGAGCUUGCUCUUACGGGUGGCGAGUGGCGGACGGGUGAGGAAUACAUCGGAAUCUACUUUUUCGUGGGGGAUAACGUAGGGAAACUUACGCUAAUACCGCAUACGACCUACGGGUGAAAGCAGGGGAUCUUCGGACCUUGCGCGAUUGAAUGAGCCGAUGUCGGAUUAGCUGGUUGGCGGGGUAAAGGCCCACCAAGGCGACGAUCCGUAGCUGGUCUGAGAGGAUGAGGAGCGACACUGGAAAUGAGACGAGGUCAAGACUCAGAAGGGAGGCACAAGUGGGGGAUAGUGGACAAGGGGCGCGAGUCUGAAACAGCCAUACCGGGUAGGAGAAGAAGGCAUUCGGGUUGUGAAGCCCUUUUGUUGGGAAAGAAAAGCAGCAGGUGGAUAACCCGCUGGUCUGACGGUAGGAAAAGAAUAAGAAAAGGCUAACUUCGAG
This 492-nucleotide ribosomal RNA is filed under the name uncultured bacterium. Its description in RNAcentral is "partial 16S ribosomal RNA". It matches the Rfam family "Bacterial small subunit ribosomal RNA", at positions 30 to 507 of the family's 1533-position model. The record is from RNAcentral.